CCUCGCUUCCAGUCUCACCCUAACUUCUUUCUUCGUCGACGCCAUUCAUCCCUCAGGAAACCCUUCCAGCUGGAGCUGGACUCUGGCACACAAUAGCUUGUAAUGUUCAGUGGGACAAAGAAAGAAAGGUGCCGCCUAGGAGAACAACAUCAAGGAAUUUGAACUCAGAGAGCUGCGGAAGACUCUAGAAAGAGCUCAAGCAGAGCAGGAGGCCCUGCAGAGGCCGCUGGCGGAGUUCCAGGGCCAGCUGGCAGUGAACACCUUGGUGUUCCUUUCAGAACCAGCGGCAGAGGCUGGAGGUGGAGCUGGUGGGCCUGAAGACCGACAGGGUCGUCCUGGAGGAGUCUGAGAACCUGAACAUGGUGCUGAUGCUGUCCCACUUCGGCCUGCAAGUAACGGACACGGCGUAAAGUGGUGCCCCACCCCUGCCCCGAUGGGGACCCCAGGAUAUCAAGCAUGAGUGCUGAGGUCGACGUCCACGGAGGCAUCUCUCUGAGCGGAGGGAGGAUGGAGAAUCCCAGGGCCUUGCAGACCGGCAGUCAGCACAGCUCUGCUGAGCGAGGAGAAAUAAAUCGUGCGUGUGUGUUUGUGUUUGCACAACAGACUCAAUCUGUCUUUUGUGUCUGGGGCUCAGCAGAGCAUCUGCCCUGUGAGGACUCCUCCCAUGGGCUAAGAGUUGAGCAGCUUUGUCUUGGGAAGAUUCAAGUAGAGUGCAUCUGUCUCUCUGCAUCUAACAUCCACAGAGAGUUCAAGUGCACACCCACCCUCACAGGGAACACAGGCCGAGCAGCCCCCUGUGUGUGCACCCGCCUUCCUCUCGUGGUCAGUCUCUGUGACUCAGGCAUGCUUUGGUGUCCUCUACUGAAUUAUGAGGACAGCAGUCGCCACCCAUCAGCCUCAAAGGGUGGGGUGAAGAUCGAGUGACACAGCAGCUUGCCUGAGUCCCUCAGAAGCUGACCCUGAGACAGGAAUUGCAUGCAAGUGAGUUACUGCGGAGGUGAUCCCAGGUAGGAGGUUGGCGCAGUGAGGCAGGGAAGCAAAGACAGCCAUGAAACC
Molecule: long non-coding RNA, 1056 nt
Filed under: Equus caballus (horse)
Lineage: Eukaryota; Metazoa; Chordata; Mammalia; Perissodactyla; Equidae
Description: lncRNA (ENSECAG00000059666.1)
Source: RNAcentral